Long non-coding RNA from Rhipicephalus microplus (southern cattle tick), 625 nucleotides. RefSeq lists it as uncharacterized. NCBI's taxonomy places the organism in Eukaryota, Metazoa, Arthropoda, Arachnida, Ixodida, Ixodidae. The record is from RefSeq and is a predicted model, not a curated record.
UGCUGCAAGCAAAGGUCUCUAGCUGGUCUGUUACAACAAUGUGAUCAUUUUUCUUUUCCCGAACAAUCGAACAGCAAGUUUUCUGAACAAGAUGGUGCAAACCUGCGAAAACGAUAUUUAUCGUUACCGAAGUUCACACAUGUCACGUCGUGGUCAUAAAGAACAGAUAAUACUGCUUUUCGCUGUGGUUGCCUUCGUUGUAUUUGGAACGACCUCCGCGCGGCCACACGCUUAUGGUUGUGGGCCGAACCAGGAAGCAAGGUGUAGUGGCAAAUGCAAUACCUGCGAAGCUUACUGCGGCAGUGACGCAAUGAACGCCAAUCAACAGAGGCCGUCACGGUGCCGUCUUCGUUCAGGUGUGAUAUGUGUCUGCACCAUCGGCUUCUACCGAAAAAAACCUGGUGGUUGUCAUCCGUGCGUCCGCAUCGACAUAUGCAAUUAGCGCACUCCACCUGUAACAAAAUCCUGCCCCCAUGAUCUUAUCGCAACUUUGGUUAUUUGGUCUUCGUAACAUUCCUUGGAAGUCGCAAGGUGGUAAUUGCGCGCUGCUUCGCAACGACCAAGCUGUCGCAAUUUUAUCGUACCAACACACAGCAGUGCAAUAAAUAUACCAACUAUUUUUCAA